CCUACGGGUGGCAGCAGUGAGGAAUAUUGGUCAAUGGACGAGAGUCUGAACCAGCCAAGUAGCGUGAAGGAUGACUGCCCUAUGGGUUGUAAACUUCUUUUAUAUGGGAAUAAAAUGUUCCACGUGUGGGAUUUUGUAUGUACCAUAUGAAUAAGGAUCGGCUAACUCCGUGCCAGCAGCCGCGGUAAUACGGAGGAUCCGAGCGUUAUCCGGAUUUAUUGGGUUUAAAGGGAGCGUAGGUGGAUUGUUAAGUCAGUUGUGAAAGUUUGCGGCUCAACCGUAAAAUUGAAGUUGAAACUGGCAGUCUUGAGUACAGUAGAGGUGGGCGGAAUUCGUGGUGUAGCGGUGAAAUGCUUAGAUAUCACGGAGAACUCCGAUUGCGAAGGCAGUUCACUGGACUGCAACUGACACUGAGGCUCGAAAGUGUGGGUAUCAAACAGGAUUAGAUACCCCAGUAGUC
This 460-nucleotide ribosomal RNA is filed under the name uncultured bacterium. RNAcentral describes it as "partial 16S ribosomal RNA". It matches the Rfam family "Bacterial small subunit ribosomal RNA", at positions 338 to 795 of the family's 1533-position model. The record is from RNAcentral.